GGCACUUGAACAGAAUAACCCGAGGUCGCGAUCACAAUACUAAUUAUUAACUAUUAUCAUCUGCAGCAUUGCCUGCUCAACCCAACAUCUGAACAUGAAUAGAAAAUCGAUAAAAGUCCGGUAGGGCACUACUGCAGCAAGUUUUCCUUCAGAUACCUGGUUGGUUGUGCACCUGUAUGAUAACAUCCAAAUUACGGUGAAAGCAAACGUGAUGUAAACUACAAUAUCGUACAUGUCGUCGCAAAAAACAGCUUCUAAAAUAUUAAAUGUUGGAUUGGUGUUUCUUCUAAGUUAGAAAAAUGUACAUAUAGUGUCUCAGGUCAAAUUUACCAAUCUAUCAGAAGUGCGAAGUCGAUGUACAAUCAUUGUCAGCGGAACACGAUGUGUAUUAAAUUGCCGGAACACAAUGUAGGCCUACUAUCAAUAGCCGGAUUUAUGUGAUCCGCAAAUAAUCGAGCGCUAAUAUUGAUUAGGUUUUAUACCACUGGAUCAUCGGAAUUGAAUUAAAUUUGCAAAUUAUGUUUCCUGUAAUCCUCGAACGAUCUUGCAUACAUAAAUAUAAUUAGGCGUAAGGAUUCUAAAUAUGUAUUACGGUAUAUUAUAUAGUUUUGUUUAUACUACAUUUAUAGGCCUAUAGUUCUGAUUAGAUGUAAGAUUUCCUAGUAUGUAAGAAAUAAAC
This 679-nucleotide long non-coding RNA is filed under the name Anneissia japonica. RNAcentral's name for it is "uncharacterized LOC117125482, transcript variant X1". The record is from RNAcentral. Lineage: Eukaryota; Metazoa; Echinodermata; Crinoidea; Comatulida; Comatulidae.